This 493-nucleotide ribosomal RNA is filed under the name uncultured bacterium. RNAcentral describes it as "partial 16S ribosomal RNA". It matches the Rfam family "Bacterial small subunit ribosomal RNA", at positions 30 to 523 of the family's 1533-position model. The record is from RNAcentral.
AUUGAACGCUGGCGGCAUGCCUUACACAUGCAAGUCGAACGGUAACAGGUUAAGCUGACGAGUGGCGAACGGGUGAGUAAUAUAUCGGAACGUGCCCAGUCGUGGGGGAUAACGUAGCGAAAGCUACGCUAAUACCGCAUACGAUCUACGGAUGAAAGCGGGGGAUCGCAAGACCUCGCGCGAUUGGAGCGGCCGAUAUCAGAUUAGGUUGUGGGUGAGGUAAAAGCUCACCAAGCCUGCGAUCUGUAGCUGGUCUGAGAGGACGACCAGCCACACUGGAACUGAGACACGGUCCAGACUCCUACGGGAGGCAGCAGUGGGGAAUUUUGGACAAUGGACGCAAGUCUGAUCCAGCAAUGCCGCGUGCAGGACGAAGGCCUUCGGGUUGUAAACUGCUUUUGUACGGAACGAAACGGUGAGCUCUAAUAUAGUUUGCUAAUGACGGUACCGUAAGAAUAAGCACCGGCUAACUACGUGCCAGCCGCCGCCGUAA